RNAcentral lists this ribosomal RNA (584 nucleotides) under Saccharomyces cerevisiae (brewer's yeast). Its description in RNAcentral is "eukaryotic LSU rRNA". It matches the Rfam family "Eukaryotic large subunit ribosomal RNA", at positions 50 to 646 of the family's 3401-position model. The record is from RNAcentral. Lineage: Eukaryota; Fungi; Ascomycota; Saccharomycetes; Saccharomycetales; Saccharomycetaceae.
GCGGAGGAAAAGAAACCCAACCGGGAUUGCCUUAGUAACGGCGAGUGAAACGGCAAAAGCUCAAAUUUGAAAUCUGGUACCUUCGGUGCCCGAGUUGUAAUUUGGAGAGGGCAACUUUGGGGCCGUUCCUUGUCUAUGUUCCUUGGAACAGGACGUCAUAGAGGGUGAGAAUCCCGUGUGGCGAGGAGUGCGGUUCUUUGUAAAGUGCCCUCGAAGAGUCGAGUUGUUUGGGAAUGCAGCUCUAAGUGGGUGGUAAAUUCCAUCUAAAGCUAAAUAUUGGCGAGAGACCGAUAGCGAACAAGUACAGUGAUGGAAAGAUGAAAAGAACUUUGAAAAGAGAGUGAAAAAGUACGUGAAAUUGUUGAAAGGGAAGGGCAUUUGAUCAGACAUGGUGUUUUGUGCCCUCUGCUCCUUGUGGGUAGGGGAAUCUCGCAUUUCACUGGGCCAGCAUCAGUUUUGGUGGCAGGAUAAAUCCAUAGGAAUGUAGCUUGCCUCGGUAAGUAUUAUAGCCUGUUGGGAAUACUGCCAGCUGGGACUGAGGACUGUGNGACGUAAGUCAAGGAUGCUGGCGUAAUGUAUAUGCC